This is a long non-coding RNA of Triticum urartu, 1567 nucleotides long. RefSeq lists it as uncharacterized. The record is from RefSeq and is a predicted model, not a curated record. Lineage: Eukaryota; Viridiplantae; Streptophyta; Magnoliopsida; Poales; Poaceae.
UUGCAUCCACCCCCACCUCCUUUUUCCCAAUCCAUCCAUCUAUUCCAGAUCGAGAGAAAGCUCGUCUCUUUCCUUCCUCUGGCUCCCUCCAGAUCGAGAAAGAGAUCGCCGCCGCCACCUCCCUCUAGCGGAGCUCGCCGCCGUCCAUGGCCUCCCCCACGCCCUCCUGCUCCGCCCGCUCCUCCUCCCUCCACGCCUCCCGCGCGCCAUUGCCGAUUUCCCAAACCAGACCGCCUCCCUGGUUCAUUCAUUCCUCCCCUCCCACCCACCCGCCACGGCACCGCCAUCCAACUUGCCGAUGACCUUACGCAUCGCCGCCGGCCUCCGCUCACUCCCCUCCCACACGCCUGCCGCCCCAACCUCUCCACCUCCCCUUCUCCCCCUACCCCUAGUAGCACCCAGGCCCAACAGCACAUGUGGCGGCCAGAUCCAAGAUCCAGCAAGCCAGCCUGUGCCUCACUAGAGGCGCACACGCAGAGUGAGGUGGGCUUCCCGCGUGCACACGCCAUGGACCUCCGUCACGGGACGCCAACGCGUCUCGUCUGCCCGGCCGCGUCACCAGAUGAUUGCCUGCUUGCUCCCUGCUGACGCCAUCCCGUGCUUGGGACGCCGCGCCCUACCACGCCCCGACGUCCCUCCUCCCUCUCUCCUGCAUCGGCCCCAUCGUCCGUCCCCGAGAUGGAGAGGGUGCUCAAGGAUGAUGCCAUCCAGGAGAAGGGCGAACGGACCUGGGUUGUAACCAGCCCCCUCCCAUCUGAUCUGCUUGUUUUCCUUCUUGGUCUGACUGGGUCGGUUCGUUCGUCCGUUGGUUGGAUGGCGCUGCUGCAACUGUGUGCAAUUAGUAUAUAGUGAUCUCACUUAGACUGCAAAAUCCAUAUCUUUGCCUGAUCUUUGUAUAGGUGGUAUGACUAUAACUGAACCAUAUGUUCUGUUUUAUCAUAUAUAACUGAACCGUGAGUUUGUUUCAUAUUUUAAACCUACAUGAAAGGAAGUGUGCUUGUUGACGAUGGUUAUUGUUGCUGAAUCCAUAUCCUGGUUCAGACUUAUAUUUUGCUAUUCUUAGGUGGCGGGCUUAUACGGCAUCGCGAGCAGGAGGGCCAUGAGGGGUUUGCUGCUCUUCUCCUAGGGCGACCAAGAGGUCCUGCCCCGAGCUCAAGCACGUCCACGCCGACCCACCACGACAGCGAAGUGCGGCUGGACGACUGAGGCUGCUAUUCUGCCUUGAUCUGCACACAAAGAGUUCCUAGACCUAACUUGAAGCAAGGAUACCUGCGGCUGCAAGCCAACAAUAUCUGAAGACGGGUGCUGCUUGUCUAUGUUCUCAGCAUAACUAUAGGCUGCCAUGUCUUCCCCACAUUCCUUUUCGCUUUCUGUAAUGCUAACUUGACAGUCAGCCUAUAGUUAUGCGAAGAACAUCGGCAAGCAGCACCUGUCUUCAGACAUAUGAUAACCCACAAGUAUAAGGGAUCGCAACAGCUUUCGAGGGUAGAGUAUUAAACCCAAAUUUAUUGAUUCGACACAAGGGGAGCCAAAGAAUAUUCUCAAGUAUUAGCAGCUGAGUUCUCAA